CUAUGCCUACGGGGCGCAGCAGUAGGGAAUCUUCCACAAUGGGCGAAAGCCUGAUGGAGCAACGCCGCGUGGGUGAAGAAGGUCUUCGGAUCGUAAAACCCUGUUGUUAGAGAAGAAAGUGCGUGAGAGUAACUGUUCACAUUUCGACGGUAUCUAACCAGAAAGCCACGGCUAACUACGUGCCAGCAGCCGCGGUAAUACGUAGGUGGCAAGCGUUAUCCGGAAUUAUUGGGCGUAAAGUGAACGCAGGCGGGUUUUUAAGUCUGAUGUGAAAGCCUUCGGCUUAACCGG
RNAcentral lists this ribosomal RNA (291 nucleotides) under uncultured bacterium. Its description in RNAcentral is "partial 16S ribosomal RNA". It matches the Rfam family "Bacterial small subunit ribosomal RNA", at positions 333 to 616 of the family's 1533-position model. The record is from RNAcentral.